This 965-nucleotide ribosomal RNA is filed under the name Enterococcus lactis. Its description in RNAcentral is "bacterial SSU rRNA". It matches the Rfam family "Bacterial small subunit ribosomal RNA", at positions 459 to 1427 of the family's 1533-position model. The record is from RNAcentral. Lineage: Bacteria; Bacillati; Bacillota; Bacilli; Lactobacillales; Enterococcaceae.
CUUUCACCCCUUGACGGUAUCUAACCAGAAAGCCACGGCUAACUACGUGCCAGCAGCCGCGGUAAUACGUAGGUGGCAAGCGUUGUCCGGAUUUAUUGGCGUAAAGCGAGCGCAGGCGGUUUCUUAAGUCUGAUGUGAAAGCCCCGGCUCAACCGGGGAGGGUCAUUGGAAACUGGGAGACUUGAGUGCAGAAGAGGAGAGUGGAAUUCCAUGUGUAGCGGUGAAAUGCGUAGAUAUAUGGAGGAACACCAGUGGCGAAGGCGGCUCUCUGGUCUGUAACUGACGCUGAGGCUCGAAAGCGUGGGAGCAAACAGGAUUAGAUACCCUGGUAGUCCACGCCGUAAACGAUGAGUGCUAAGUGUUGGAGGGUUUCCGCCCUUCAGUGCUGCAGCUAACGCAUUAAGCACUCCGCCUGGGGAGUACGACCGCAAGGUUGAAACUCAAAGGAAUUGACGGGGGCCCGCACAAGCGGUGGAGCAUGUGGUUUAAUUCGAAGCAACGCGAAGAACCUUACCAGGUCUUGACAUCCUUUGACCACUCUAGAGAUAGAGCUUCCCCUUCGGGGGCAAAGUGACAGGUGGUGCAUGGUUGUCGUCAGCUCGUGUCGUGAGAUGUUGGGUUAAGUCCCGCAACGAGCGCAACCCUUAUUGUUAGUUGCCAUCAUUUAGUUGGGCACUCUAGCAAGACUGCCGGUGACAAACCGGAGGAAGGUGGGGAUGACGUCAAAUCAUCAUGCCCCUUAUGACCUGGGCUACACACGUGCUACAAUGGGAAGUACAACGAGUCGCGAAGUCGCGAGGCUAAGCUAAUCUCUUAAAGCUUCUCUCAGUUCGGAUUGUAGGCUGCAACUCGCCUACAUGAAGCCGGAAUCGCUAGUAAUCGCGGAUCAGCACGCCGCGGUGAAUACGUUCCCGGGCCUUGUACACACCGCCCGUCACACCACGAGAGUUUGUAACACCCGAAGU